GGAAAGUGGGGUGGGGAGGAAAGCGGGUAGCAACCAAAGCAUGUUGAGUAACCUCUAGAGGUCAACACAUGCAUUUUUAUCAUUUAAUGCUUACAUCACCAUUACCCCUGGAAGGUAGGUAUCAUGCUCCUAUUUUACAGACUAGAAUACUGGGACUUCUUAGAGGCUAGGAGCCCUCCCUAAGGUCACCUGACUACAGACCAGCAGACCUGUUAUUAGAAUGUGCACCUCCAAAGCAUAUGCCUCUUCCCGUGGCCCUAAGCCUUCUGAAUAAGCAAGUAGCAGUGCUUGCUCUAAAAAUGCUAUUCUCAGUAGGAGAGCAUGACUCUGGCUUUUCCCUGCAGUGUUCAAAGCUGUGCUGGCUCUUAGAACAUCUGAGCCCCCACUGUUUCAUCUUUAGAGGAUCCCAGCUGCUGGGGUGUGAGGCCAGUGCUGGAGCCAGCAGUCUCUGACCCAGAAGGGACCUGAGGUGCUAAAGAAAAUGUCACAGAUGGAGUCCAAAAACAAAAUAACGGCCUGCUCCAUUCUGAUUCAAGUUCUCAUUUGCCUGUGCCCUGCUUUCCCAAGAGCCUAGUGACUGAUUGCAGACCCUUGAUUUCUGUGAGCUUAGACUAAUAGGUAUUGCAGGCAUACAUUCUGGGCUGAAGAUAACCAGAAAGCCAGCAACCCGAUGGGAGGAACAUUCAUUGCACAAGCUGAGAGUGAAAUGAGCGUCUACAUCAGCAGGCUUGCUUUGCCUAUUCAUACUUAUUACCUAAUAAAUGCAAAAUGGUUGCUGAAGCUCCAGAUGCCACAUCUGUGUCCAAGGGGAAAGAAGGAGGAAGGAAGAGCUCCAGCAAUCCAUCCCUUUAAUCAGGAAAGCAAAACUUUUCUGAAAACUUUUCACCUAUUUCAAAAAAGCAGGGUCAUAUGGCAAAGAGAAGAACAAUCAUGAUUCAUCACUUGGGGAUGGGCAUGUGGCUACCCAGAAUAAAAUUGAGUUCUGUUAGAAAAAAAGGAAUGGUGGAGGGGGCUGCUGAGUAAGCAACUAACAGUGCUUUGUGUGCCCACUUUUGAAUAAAUAAGUUUCAUUUUUAUAGGCUAAAAGGCAUACAUAUGUCUAUGUAUGUUCUUAUAUAUUCCUAAAUAUCAAUAUAAGCAUCAAUAUUUAGAAAUGAAUUAACAUAGGUAAAGUGUUUAGAAUAGUGCCUAUUAGGUGCCAUAGAAAGAUUUGCUAUCAUUAUUUUUACUGUUAGGUGUCUAUAUAUUUAUAUGUGUUUUACAGACAGUUUCUAAAAGUACUUCCUUUCCUCUUCACAAUGAUUACAACAUCUGUUCUUUUUAACUCUAGGGGUACAAGCUGGAAAAGGGGAAAAAUGAAUCAUGCUACAGGCCAAGUGUCCAUCACUGAUUCCCAGAGAUGCCCUUUGUGUGGUAGGCACUUCCAUGUGGACUCGCUACAGAGGUACAUGCAUAGGUCCAAGAUAGGCGUCCCUCAGCUCAUGGCCCAUAUUCCAGCUUGUAGACUUUUGCUAAGGAUGACCCCUCACCAGUAACCAGCUCUGGUCCCAAGCUCCUGGCUGCAGUCUUUAGUGUCCACAAACCCACAGAGGCUCAUCAUCCUCAACUGUGGGAAUGCACCUUUUCCUGCUGGUUCCUCCUCAUUGCCCUGGCAUUUCUCCAAAUGUUGUUCUCCCUCUGCUCAAAUAGGCAUGGAGCAGGGGCAGAUCAGAAAGUAUGAUGUCCAGCCAUCCUCCAACCAAAGAACAAAGUGCUAGACUAUCAUCAUUGCAUGUGCCCCCAGUCUCUACUGGGGAUGCCUAAGAGUCUUCCUUUCAUGUUGUGAAAUGAGGAGUGACUCUUCUGCUCCCAUUGUGGGGAGGAAGGGAAUACAUAGACCCACACACAUGCCAUUGUCCUGCUGAUAUCCUAGAAUUCCAUCUCUUCCUCCAGUCAUUCAUCUACUUAUGUAGAAUGAAGGUUUGGGGGUUUUAGCCUCCCCUUGAUACCCUGAAGGGGGUGUGUGUGGCCUCCUAAUACUCUCAUUUUCCUUUAGAAUGUGGGUGACUAGAGGCUACUUUGCCAUUUGCUUUGAGUUUUAGUAGCUAAUUCUGGGUUAACAGUGAAAGUCCUAUUUGAUAUCCUGCUACUCUUGUUACUUUAACCUAAUUAGAUAUUAUAUAAGUUGAUAAAAUGUGCAUGUACGAGG
Molecule: long non-coding RNA, 2188 nt
Filed under: Pan troglodytes (chimpanzee)
Lineage: Eukaryota; Metazoa; Chordata; Mammalia; Primates; Hominidae
Description: lncRNA (ENSPTRG00000053723.1)
Source: RNAcentral